CAGCAGUGAGGAAGGUGGGGUAUGGUUAAUUAGCAUACUCAUUUGACGUUAGCUGCAGAAGAAAGCACCGGCUAACUCCGUGCCAGCAGCCGCGGUAAUACGGAGGGUGCGAGCGUUAAUCGGAAUUACUGGGCGUAAAGCGCAUGCAGGUGGUUUGUUAAGUUCAGAUGUGAAAGACCCGGGGCGUCAACCUCCGGAAUUGCAUUUGUAAACUAGGCAAACUAAGAGUACUGUAGAGGGGGGUAGGAAGUUUCUAGGUGUAGCGGUGAAAUAGCGUAGAGAUCUGAAGGAAUACCGGUGGCGAAGGCGGCCCCCUCGGACAGAUACUGACACUCAGAUGCGAAAGCGUGGGGAGCAAACAGGAUUAGAUACCCUGGUAG
RNAcentral lists this ribosomal RNA (380 nucleotides) under uncultured bacterium. RNAcentral describes it as "bacterial SSU rRNA". It matches the Rfam family "Bacterial small subunit ribosomal RNA", at positions 434 to 793 of the family's 1533-position model. The record is from RNAcentral.